UACGAAGGGGGCUAGCGUUGUUCGGAAUUACUGGGCGUAAAGCGCACGUAGGCGGAUCGAUCAGUCAGGGGUGAAAUCCCAGGGCUCAACCCUGGAACUGCCUUUGAUACUGUCGAUCUGGAGUAUGGGAGAGGUGAGUGGAAUUCCGAGUGUAGAGGUGAAAUUCGUAGAUAUUCGGAGGAACACCAGUGGCGAAGGCGGCUCACUGGUCCAUUACUGACGCUGAGGUGCGAAAGCGUGGGGAGCAAACAGG
Molecule: ribosomal RNA, 253 nt
Filed under: uncultured bacterium
Lineage: Bacteria
Description: partial 16S ribosomal RNA
Rfam family: Bacterial small subunit ribosomal RNA
Source: RNAcentral